AUGAAGACCAUGUUCAUCCUCGCUCUCCUCACCUUCACGGCGACCAGCGCAGUUGCGCAGCUGGACACUACCUGUAGCCAGGGCUACGGGCAAUGCCAGCAGCAGUCGCAGCCUUAGAUGAACACAUGCGCUGCUUUCCUGCAGCAGUGAGCCAGACACCAUAUGUCCAGUCACAGAUGUGGCAGGCAAGCAGUUGCCAGUUGAUGCGGCAACAGUGCUGCCAGCUGACACGUCUUCAU
This 239-nucleotide ribosomal RNA is filed under the name Triticum aestivum (bread wheat). RNAcentral's name for it is "partial small subunit ribosomal RNA". The record is from RNAcentral. Lineage: Eukaryota; Viridiplantae; Streptophyta; Magnoliopsida; Poales; Poaceae.